GACGAACGCUGGCGGCGUGCUUAACACAUGCAAGUAGAACGGAGUGGCGAACGGGGGAGUAACACGUGGGUGACCUGCCCUGCACUUCGGGAUAAGCCUGGGAAACUGGGUCUAAUACCGGAUAGUGUGGGAUGGGCCCGCGGCCUAUCAGCGUGUUGGUGGGGUAAUGGCCUACCAAGGCGGCGACGGGUAGCCGGCCUGAGAGGGUGGACGGCCAGAUUGGGACUGAGACAAGGCCCAGACUCCUACUGGAGGCAGCAGUGGGGAAUAUUGCACAAUGGGCGGAAGCAUGAUGCACCAACGCCGCGUGGGGGAUGAAGGCCGUCUGGUUGUAAACUCCUUUCACCAUCGACACGGUAGAUGGUGAAGGAGCACCGGCUAACUACGUGCCAGCAGCCGCGGUAAUAC
Molecule: ribosomal RNA, 408 nt
Filed under: uncultured bacterium
Lineage: Bacteria
Description: partial 16S ribosomal RNA
Rfam family: Bacterial small subunit ribosomal RNA
Source: RNAcentral